AGUGAACGCUGGCGGUAGGCCUAACACAUGCAAGUCGAACGGCAGCACAGUAAGAGCUUGCUCUUACGGGUGGCGAGUGGCGGACGGGUGAGGAAUACAUCGGAAUCUACUUUUUCGUGGGGGAUAACGUAGGGAAACUUACGCUAAUACCGCAUACGACCUACGGGUGAAAGCAUGGGAUCUUCGGACCUUGCGCGAUUGAAUGAGCCGAUGUCGGAUUAGCUGGUUGGCGGGGUAAAGGCCCACCAAGGCGACGAUCCGUAGCUGGUCUGAGAGGAUGAUCAGCCACACUGGAACUGAGACACGGUCCAGACUCCUACGGGAGGCAGCAGUGGGGAAUAUUGGACAAUGGGCGCAAGCCUGAUCCAGCCAUACCGCGUGGGUGAAGAAGGCCUUCGGGUUGUAAAGCCCUUUUGUUGGGAAAGAAAAGCAGCAGGUUAAUACCCCGCUGUUCUGACGGUACCAAAAGAAUAAGCACCGGCUAACUUCGUG
RNAcentral lists this ribosomal RNA (492 nucleotides) under uncultured bacterium. RNAcentral's name for it is "partial 16S ribosomal RNA". It matches the Rfam family "Bacterial small subunit ribosomal RNA", at positions 29 to 507 of the family's 1533-position model. The record is from RNAcentral.